This 460-nucleotide ribosomal RNA is filed under the name uncultured bacterium. Its description in RNAcentral is "partial 16S ribosomal RNA". It matches the Rfam family "Bacterial small subunit ribosomal RNA", at positions 338 to 795 of the family's 1533-position model. The record is from RNAcentral.
CCUACGGGAGGCAGCAGUGAGGAAUAUUGGUCAAUGGCCGGAAGGCUGAACCAGCCAUGCCGCGUGAAGGUCAGUGCCCUAUGGGCGUUAAACUUCUUUUGUGCGGGAGCAAUAAUGGUCACGUGUGGCCAGACGAGAGUACCGUACGAAUAAGCAUCGGCUAACUCCGUGCCAGCAGCCGCGGUAAUACGGGGGAUGCAAGCGUUAUCCGGAUUUAUUGGGUUUAAAGGGUGCGUAGGCUGUGAGGUAAGUCAGCGGUGAAAUGCCCCCGCUCAACGGGGUGAAGGGCCAUUGAUACUGGCUGGCUGGAAUGCGGAUGCCGUGGGAGGAAUGUGUGGUGUAGCGGUGAAAUGCAUAGAUAUCACACAGAACACCGAUUGCGAAGGCAUCUCACGAAUCCGCGAUUGACGCUGAUGCACGAAAGCGUGGGUAUCAAACAGGAUUAGAUACCCUUGUAGUC